GACGAACGCUGGCGGCGUGCUUAACACAUGCAAGUCGAACGGAAAGGCCCUGCUUUUGUGGGGUGCUCGAGUGGCGAACGGGUGAGUAACACGUGAGUAACCUGCCCUUGACUUUGGGAUAACUUCAGGAAACUGGGGCUAAUACCGGAUAGGAGCUCCUGCUGCACGGUGGGGGUUGGAAAGUUUCGGCGGUUGGGGAUAGACUCGCGGCUUAUCAGCUUGUUGGUGGAGUAGUGGCUUACCAAGGCUUUGACGGGUAGCCGGCAUGAGAGGGUGACCGGCCACAUUGGGACUGAGAUACGGCGCAGACUCCUACGGGAGGCAGCAGUGGGGAGUAUUGCACAAUGGGCGGAAGCCAGAUGCAGCAACGCCGCGUGCGGGAUGACGGCCUUCGAGUUGUAAACCGCUUUCGCCUGUGACGAAGCGUGAGUGACGGUAAUGGGUAAAGAAGCACCGGCUAACUACGUG
Molecule: ribosomal RNA, 468 nt
Filed under: uncultured bacterium
Lineage: Bacteria
Description: partial 16S ribosomal RNA
Rfam family: Bacterial small subunit ribosomal RNA
Source: RNAcentral